Molecule: ribosomal RNA, 165 nt
Filed under: uncultured Nitrosomonadales bacterium
Lineage: Bacteria; Pseudomonadati; Pseudomonadota; Betaproteobacteria; Nitrosomonadales
Description: partial 16S ribosomal RNA
Rfam family: Bacterial small subunit ribosomal RNA
Source: RNAcentral
CUACGGGAGGCAGCAGGGGGGAAUUUUGGACAAUGGGCGAAAGCCUGAUCCAGCCAUGCCGCGUGAGUGAAGAAGGCCUUCGGGUUGUAAAGCUCUUUUAGUCGGAAAGAAAGAGUUGCANAUGAAUAAUUGUGAUUUAUGACGGUACCGACAGAAAAAGCACCG